AUUACCUUUUUAACAUAGCUAAUUAGUACUUGCUAGUGUUUUUUCACGAGUCAUGGGGAUUCAGAGCUCCGGCGACCUCCGUUGAUGUCGGUCGCACCGUUGGCGACCUAAGUUCGCUCUCUCUCACUUUAUAUCUCUCCUCAAACCGACGCCAGUGAACCAGUGCCUACAGUUUUCUUUGUAGGAGAGUUCUAUGCUGCAGAAGUUAUUGCUCUCAUAUCAUUUGGCAUUAGAGCGAGUUAAUGUAAUGGCCAUAUCAUUUGAUUCAUAUGUUUGUUUUGGGAUUGAAGCUUGUGAUUUAGUAAAGCACUUGACAUUCAUGUGAAUCUUAUAAUGUAAAUUAAACAGAAGCAUUUUCUUCAGAUAAGACACCCCAUUCUCAGAAAUAUUGAGAAUAUGUUAUUUCAAGGAUAACUUAAAUAUCGUGAAUGAAAUGAUACCUUACUCCAUGUUUGGGGGCUUGGAUUCGAACUUUGGAUUCGAAUUUGGAUUAUUGUGGAUUUGAAUAAACUGUAAUACAAACAUUAUACUGUGUUUUGUUCUA
Molecule: long non-coding RNA, 544 nt
Organism: Malania oleifera
Lineage: Eukaryota; Viridiplantae; Streptophyta; Magnoliopsida; Santalales; Ximeniaceae
Exons: 2
Source: RefSeq, a predicted model, not a curated record